RNAcentral lists this ribosomal RNA (966 nucleotides) under Salmonella enterica subsp. enterica serovar Infantis. RNAcentral's name for it is "partial 23S ribosomal RNA". It matches the Rfam family "Bacterial large subunit ribosomal RNA", at positions 711 to 1596 of the family's 2925-position model. The record is from RNAcentral. Lineage: Bacteria; Pseudomonadati; Pseudomonadota; Gammaproteobacteria; Enterobacterales; Enterobacteriaceae.
AGACCCGAAACCCGGUGAUCUAGCCAUGGGCAGGUUGAAGGUUGGGUAACACUAACUGGAGGACCGAACCGACUAAUGUUGAAAAAUUAGCGGAUGACCUGUGGCUGGGGGUGAAAGGCCAAUCAAACCGGGAGAUAGCUGGUUCUCCCCGAAAGCUAUUUAGGUAGCGCCUCGUGAAUUCAUCUCCGGGGGUAGAGCACUGUUUCGGCUAGGGGGCCAUCCCGGCUUACCAACCCGAUGCAAACUGCGAAUACCGGAGAAUGUUAUCACGGGAGACACACGGCGGGUGCUAACGUCCGUCGUGAAGAGGGAAACAACCCAGACCGCCAGCUAAGGUCCCAAAGUCAUGGUUAAGUGGGAAACGAUGUGGGAAGGCCCAGACAGCCAGGAUGUUGGCUUAGAAGCAGCCAUCAUUUAAAGAAAGCGUAAUAGCUCACUGGUCGAGUCGGCCUGCGCGGAAGAUGUAACGGGGCUAAACCAUGCACCGAAGCUGCGGCAGCGAACGUAUCACUUAAAGCGAUUCAGCGGGUUACGAUUGACGGAGCGAAGCGACGUCAAAGCGUAUACAAAGUCGAGUCGGUUUAAGGAUACGUUCGUUGGGUAGGGGAGCGUUCUGUAAGCCUGUGAAGGUGUGUCGUGAGGCAUGCUGGAGGUAUCAGAAGUGCGAAUGCUGACAUAAGUAACGAUAAAGCGGGUGAAAAGCCCGCUCGCCGGAAGACCAAGGGUUCCUGUCCAACGUUAAUCGGGGCAGGGUGAGUCGACCCCUAAGGCGAGGCCGAAAGGCGUAGUCGAUGGGAAACGGGUUAAUAUUCCCGUACUUGGUGUUACUGCGAAGGGGGGACGGAGAAGGCUAUGUUGGCCGGGCGACGGUUGUCCCGGUUUAAGCGUGUAGGCUGGUUUUCCAGGCAAAUCCGGAAAAUCAAGGCUGAGGCGUGAUGACGAGGCACUACGGUGCUGAAGCAACAA